Molecule: non-coding RNA, 123 nt
Organism: Triticum aestivum (bread wheat)
Lineage: Eukaryota; Viridiplantae; Streptophyta; Magnoliopsida; Poales; Poaceae
Source: Rfam
UUUGUACUCCCUCCGUCUGGAUUACUUGUCGUAGAAAUGGAUAAAAUGGAUGUAUCUAGAACAAAAAUAUGUCUAGAUACAUCCAUUUCUCCGACAAGUAUUUUCAUACGGAGCGAGUAGAUA